UCUCUCUCUUUCUCUCUUUCUUUCUUUCUCUCUCUCUCUCUCUCUCUCUCUCUUUCUCUCUUUUCUUUCUUUCUGUCAUUACAUUUACUUCAUUGGAAAGGUUUGAAAAAGCAGCUCACAUUUCCUGGAAAGGCAAGUAAGAUUCUAUGUGAUCUAGCCCCCUGACUGCUUCUCCUGACUUAUUUUCCAUAUUGUCCUGCCAUCCACCCUAUUUCCAAGCCGUACAAACUGCUGGAGUGUUCCUGAAAGUGACAAACUCUUUCUGGCCUCCAUUCCUUUAUUCCCACUGUUCCCUCUGCAAGUAACACUUUGCCCCCAUCAUUCUGUCUGAUGAAUACCCAAUCAUCUUUCAAAAUUCAGCCAAUGAACCAUUCCUCUGUGAAGCCUCCUGACAACCCACUGUGUGCACAACUCAGCACCACGCCAACUAAGUAAGACCGCGAAUAUUUUGCAGGAAACCCAGGGCCACGCAGAUGCCAUUUGGUAGGACUUGGGGCUAGAUGAUCUCUCUCAGAUAUUGGAAGAUGCUUUCUCCUAGGACCGGGACAGGCACUGCGCGAAAUGAGCCUUGGUGCGUGUUCAUUCACUUCAUCUGUCAACAUUGACUGGGGGCUUGCUGUGGACAUGUACCACGGGUGAAUAAAUGAUAGUUGUAGUCUCUA
Felis catus (domestic cat) is the source of this 662-nucleotide long non-coding RNA. RefSeq lists it as uncharacterized. The transcript is spliced from 2 exons. The record is from RefSeq and is a predicted model, not a curated record. Lineage: Eukaryota; Metazoa; Chordata; Mammalia; Carnivora; Felidae.